CCUACGGGUGGCAGCAGUGAGGAAUAUUGGUCAAUGGGCGUAAGUCUGAACCAGCCAAGUCGCGUGAGGGAUGAAGGUUCUAUGGAUCGUAAACCUCUUUUAUAAGGGAAUAAAGUGUGGGACGUGUCCUCUUUUGGAUGUACCUUAUGAAUAAGGAUCGGCUAACUCCGUGCCAGCAGCCUCGGUACUACGGAGGAUCCGAGCGUUAUCCGGAUUUAUUGGGUUUAAAGGGUGCGUAGGGGGCCUUUUCAGUCAGCGGUGAAAUUCUGUGGCUCAACCAUCGAAUUGCCGUUGAAACUGGGGGGCUUGAGUAUGUUUGAGGCAGGCGGAAUGCGUGGUGUAGCGGUGAAAUGCUUAGAUAUCACGCAGAACCCCGAUUGCGAAGGCAGCCUGCCAAGCCAUGACUGACGCUGAUGCACGAAAGCGUGGGGAUCAAACAGGAUUAGAUACCCUAGUAGUC
RNAcentral lists this ribosomal RNA (460 nucleotides) under uncultured bacterium. RNAcentral describes it as "partial 16S ribosomal RNA". It matches the Rfam family "Bacterial small subunit ribosomal RNA", at positions 338 to 795 of the family's 1533-position model. The record is from RNAcentral.